UAGGGAAUCUUCCACAAUGGACGCAAGUCUGAUGGAGCAACGCCGCGUGAGUGAAGAAGGUUUUCGGACCGUAAAGCUCUGUUGUUGGUGAAGAAGGAUAGAGGUAGUAACUGGCCUUUAUUUGACGGUAAUCAACCAGAAAGUCACGGCUAACUACGUGCCAGCAGCCGCGGUAAUCGUAGGUGGCAAGCGUUGUCCGGAUUUAUUGGGCGUAAAGCGAGCGCAGGCGGAAGAAUAAGUCUGAUGUGAAAGCCCUCGGCUUAACCGAGGAAUUGCAUCGGAAACUGUUUUCUUGAGUGCAGAAGAGGAGAGUAGAACUCCAUGUGUAGCGGUGGAAUGCGUAGAUAUAUGGAAGAAUACCAGUGGCGAAGGCGGCUCUCUGGUCUGCAACUGACGCUGAGGCUCGAAAGCAUGGGUAGCGAACAGGAUUAGAUACCCUGGUAGUCCAUGCCGUAAACGAUGAGUGCUAAGUGUUGGGAGGCCUCCGCCUCUCAGUGCUGCAGCUAACGCAUUAAGCACUCCGCCUGGGGGAGUACGACCGCAAGGUUGAAAC
RNAcentral lists this ribosomal RNA (553 nucleotides) under uncultured bacterium. RNAcentral describes it as "partial 16S ribosomal RNA". It matches the Rfam family "Bacterial small subunit ribosomal RNA", at positions 355 to 900 of the family's 1533-position model. The record is from RNAcentral.